RNAcentral lists this long non-coding RNA (1859 nucleotides) under Homo sapiens (human). RNAcentral describes it as "non-protein coding LINC01662:20". The record is from RNAcentral. Lineage: Eukaryota; Metazoa; Chordata; Mammalia; Primates; Hominidae.
GAGUGACUUUGCCCACCACAGUCGGCUGCCCAGCCCAUGGGCACUGCGCUCCAAAGGUAGAGAUGCGGCGUGGAGGGGGCGGCAUUGGGAGAGAGAGACAAGGGGUCCGAGGGCCCCGCCCGGGGCCUGCCCAGCCUGCCCUGAUUAAAAAAAACAACAAACUGAGCAAAUUAGGUGCAGAAGGAAUGUACCUCAACAUAAAAGUGUACAAAUUUCAGUUAUGCAAAAAAAAAGAAAACUGGACACUUGAAUAUAAUAAUGCAGUAACUCUGGAGAUGAGACUCUCCUCUUCCUCAGGGUUUGCUGUUUUGGAUUAUAUUUCAUAUAUAAUUAUAUAUAUUAUAUUAUAUAUAAUAUCUGUAUAAUAAUAUAUAUUAUUACAUAUAAUUAUAUUAUAUUACAUUAUAUUAUAUAUAUCAUAAUAUAUUAUAUAAUAUAUAUAAUAUUGUAUUAUUUAAUAAUAUAUAAUAUAUUACCCAGCACAACUCUCAGUGCCAUGUUUCUUAAUUUAACAAAUCAGACCACAUACUUUACUUACAUUAGUUCACACCUCAUCAUCAUCAUGCCCAUAUGUUGUGAGCUUGUUUAUUGAGCCCACAUGCCAGAUGGAGAAACUAAGCCACAUAAAUAAAUGUGCCCUGGUUCACUUGCUGCAUAGUGAAGAGUCAAAAUGUUUACUCAAACGGUGCUAAUGUUGAAGGCCUGAACUACAACCUCUAUUUAUCAGCCAGUGAAGAGAUCACUAUUCACCAUGCAAGGGAGUUCCAGCACCCUCUAUGCCUGGAAUUACCCACGCCUGCAGAGAUCCCAAACGCCAUCCCUCACAUAAGACAGCCUCAUGAUCUCAUAAUCCAGGUAGCUAUGUAGACAUCUUCCUGCAGGUGUCACAUAGUCCUUAGUGUGAAACCAACAUAGAAAGCCCAUGUUUCUGAUCAAAUCACAGGUUCUGAAACACUAAGGGAGGCACUAAGUAGGACAACGUGGUGCCUGCGUGUCAUAGCUGGGUCUCCUCAAGACAUGGAUCAAGUCCAGUAAGAAUUGGGGAGAUGCUUUAGAGUCUUGAUGGAGUUAUCACCACAAGCCCUCUGAGCUACACACUUUAGGGAUCAUGACCAUUAAGUACUCAAAUUACCAUUUGGUUGUUAUCCGGGUAUCCGUCGUCCUUGUGGCAACCCUCUUGUGAAGCUGGUGUGGACAGCCUCAGUGCUGGAGCUGUGCCUGCCUUCUGAGUGGACCCUUUCUGUGUUAGCAGGUGGGUACAAGCGUGGGGGUCAGCACACUCAGUGGAUUUACACACACAGCGUUGAAGAGUAAGGCUGGGCUUCGUUAUUUAUACAUUUUCAAUAAAUGAUGAUCUUCAUAACAUAAAAUCAAUGAUGUAGUACACUAGAAUACUGUCCCUAGUAUUGAAUCUUGUCUCUCAGCAAAGGGUGUACAAUUAAAUGAAAUGGCUAGUAUAGUCUUGAAACCAAAUCCAGAUAAGGUAAAUUAAAUUCUGUGAUAUUUUAAAAUACUUUAAAUUCUGACUAAUGUGAGUUAAUCUCAACAUAUGAAAUAGUAGAUUAACAUUGAAAAUGCAAUAAAUAAAAUUAGCUACCUCAAGAGUUUAAUGGAAAAAAAUGUGAUUAUUGCAAUAGAUUCAGGAAAUUCAUGAAUAACAUUCACCCUAUAUUUGUAGGACAACUAUCUGAUUAACUUUAAGUGACCUGUGACAACCACUUGAAUUAAUGCUGCUUUCACAGCAUAUCUCUUGGCUUGUUAAAAACCCGACAAGAAUUUCCGUAACAUUAUUUUUAACACCUAUAUUGGGUGUGAACCCACCAUAAAGUUUGCCCACUGAAAAGGUCUAGAAUUUGAUG